ACACCAGCCAGGCACCUGUUCCUCCUUUUGGAGGGCAGAUUAGAACAUGAUGAUUGGAGUUUGCAUUAUUCAUGAUUAGUGUCUGCGUAAUCAGGAUUUACAAUACCCUGAUUACUCCUGAGUCUUAA
Molecule: non-coding RNA, 128 nt
Organism: Myotis brandtii (Brandt's bat)
Lineage: Eukaryota; Metazoa; Chordata; Mammalia; Chiroptera; Vespertilionidae
Source: Rfam